AUGGAGAGCGUGGCGCAGUCCAUCGUGAGUAAGGUCGGGCAAGUGCUAGCAGAGGAGUUCAAGGAGAUCCGCGGCGUCGGCGACAAGGUCAGGCACCUACGGGACGAGCUGGCGACCAUGAACGCCGUCCUCCGCGUCAUCUCCGAGGCGGAGCAGGACUCGGUCGACCACGUCGUCCGGGAGUGGGAGAAGCAGGUGCACGACCUCAUCUACGACGCUGAGAACUGCACCGACACUUACUCGCUCCGCAUCGUCCGCCCCAUCCCGCCCUUCACACGGGAUGACGUCCGCGGCAGACGGGUCACCUUUUGGGCCAGAAACAUGUUUGCCCGCGCCAAGCACAUUGUCAGAUAUAGGUAUGAGAAGGUUGUGCUGCAGCGUACCCUCGCUGCUGAUAUUAAUGCCCUCCUGGCUCGCGCCACCAUCGUCAGCGAACGCCGUGCUCGCUACGGCAUCAACCGGGUGGCGCUACCAAGAUCUGCAUGCUUAGGCCCUGUCUCGGUGGCAUCGUUCUCCAUGAGUGCCCUCCGUCGUGCCCAUGACACUUAUCAGUUUGUCGGAGAACAGGCCAACAACCUCGCCAAGAAGAUCAGGGCGUCGCUCCAUGAUGAGGAUCACAAGAGACUCAAGGUGUUCUCCAUUGUGGGGUUCGGCGGGCUGGGGAAGACAACCCUGGCAACGGAAUUGUGUCGGAAGCUCGACGUGGACUUCCCCUACCAGGCGCGGGUGUCUGUGUCACAAGUGUUCGAUGUUGAGAAGGACAUGAAGGGACUCCUAGUAAGAGUGCACCAGCAGAUUCUCAACGAGAAAGUAGAUGCUAAGGCUAAGCGAACUACCAAGGGAGAGGGGGCCGUGGGUCAAAUCGACAAGUUGAACGUGGAAGAGCUGUCGAGCAAGAUCAAGGAUCUUCUGCAUCACAAGAGAUGA
This 927-nucleotide ribosomal RNA is filed under the name Triticum aestivum (bread wheat). RNAcentral's name for it is "partial small subunit ribosomal RNA". The record is from RNAcentral. Lineage: Eukaryota; Viridiplantae; Streptophyta; Magnoliopsida; Poales; Poaceae.